RNAcentral lists this ribosomal RNA (497 nucleotides) under uncultured bacterium. RNAcentral describes it as "partial 16S ribosomal RNA". It matches the Rfam family "Bacterial small subunit ribosomal RNA", at positions 28 to 507 of the family's 1533-position model. The record is from RNAcentral.
GAUGAACGCUGGCGGCGUGCCUAAUACAUGCAAGUCGAGCGAACAGACGAGGAGCUUGCUCCUCUGACGUUAGCGGCGGACGGGUGAGUAACACGUGGAUAACCUACCUAUAAGACUGGGAUAACUUCGGGAAACCGGAGCUAAUACCGGAUAAUAUAUUGAACCGCAUGGUUCAAUAGUGAAAGACGGUUUUGCUGUCACUUAUAGAUGGAUCCGCGCCGCAUUAGCUAGUUGGUAAGGUAACGGCUUACCAAGGCAACGAUGCGUAGCCGACCUGAGAGGGUGAUCGGCCACACUGGAACUGAGACACGGUCCAGACUUCUACGGGAGGCAGCAGUAGGGAAUCUUCCGCAAUGGGCGAAAGCCUGACGGAGCAACGCCGCGUGAAUGAUGAAGGUCUUCGGAUCGUAAAACUCUGUUAUUAGGGAAGAACAAAUGUGUAAGUAACUAUGCACGUCUUGACGGUACCUAAUCAGAAAGCCACGGCUAACUACGUG